RNAcentral lists this ribosomal RNA (431 nucleotides) under uncultured bacterium. RNAcentral describes it as "bacterial SSU rRNA". It matches the Rfam family "Bacterial small subunit ribosomal RNA", at positions 29 to 506 of the family's 1533-position model. The record is from RNAcentral.
ACGAACGCUGGCGGCAUGCCUAACACAUGCAAGUCGAACGAACCCUUCGGGGUUAGUGGCGCACGGGUGCGUAACGCGUGGGAACCUGCCUUUAGGUUCGGAAUAACUCAGAGAAAUUUGAGCUAAUACCGGAUAAUGUCUUCGGACCAAAGAUUUAUCGCCUUUAGAUGGGCCCGCGUUGGAUUAGCUAGUUGGUGGGGUAAAGGCCUACCAAGGCGACGAUCCAUAGCUGGUCUGAGAGGAUGAUCAGCCACACUGGGACUGAGACACGGCCCAGACUCCUACGGGAGGCAGCAGUGGGGAAUAUUGGACAAUGGGCGAAAGCCUGAUCCAGCAAUGCCGCGUGAGUGAUGAAGGCCUUAGGGUUGUAAAGCUCUUUUACUGGGGAUGAUAAUGACAGUACCCAGAGAAUAAGCUCCGGCUAACUCCGU